This 227-nucleotide long non-coding RNA is filed under the name Pelobates cultripes (western spadefoot toad). Lineage: Eukaryota; Metazoa; Chordata; Amphibia; Anura; Pelobatidae. The record is from RNAcentral.
CAGUGGUCUUACGUGCUCCCAACUUGCGCUGUUACAAUCCAUAAUGAAUGCGGCGGCGAGGCUCAUCUUCCUGUCCGCCCGCACCUCCCAUGCCUCACCCUUCUGUCAGUCCCUACAUUGGCUUCCUAUAAAAUAUGGAGCUCAAUUUAAAAUUCUGGUUCUUGCCUUCAAAUCUCUACAUAAUGCUGCUCCCACCUAUCUAUCCUCCCUUAUACACAAGUAUGUCC